Molecule: long non-coding RNA, 1748 nt
Organism: Ictalurus furcatus (blue catfish)
Lineage: Eukaryota; Metazoa; Chordata; Actinopteri; Siluriformes; Ictaluridae
Exons: 3
Source: RefSeq, a predicted model, not a curated record
GCAAGCGAAGAACCAUUAACUAUACAAAAAACCCACUGAAGAACCAUGAGGCUAAUACUCCUGCUACGACCAAAUCAUCCACGCUUGUUGGAAUUAUUACCAAAAAAAAACACGUCACUCAUCACCCUUGAUACAUUUUGUCACCGAUUUCCUGGGCGACUCAUCACCUGAGCCCCUCCCCCUUAAGAAAAGAGUUCCUACAUAUAAUAGUCUGGAACAUGACUCAGCCGCAUGACAUACUAGUCAUGAUAAGUGUUGUCAUUGUUCUUCAUUGAGACAUUUAUGUAAUGACAACCAAAUGAAUUACUGAGCACAGGAACCUUUUCUGGAACCUUUGACGUGAGCUGAUUUUAGGAUCUACCAGACCCAUUUCCACCACAGGAACCCUUUCAGGAACCAAGUGUUUUUUCCCUUCAGAAACUCCAGAACUAAAAACGUAUUCGGUCCCACUAGGCACCCUUCCUUUCUACGUUUUCUAAAACCGCUUGCCUGCUCAAGAACUCACAAACAGAAUACUUUAGGUUCUACAAGGCGCAUUUCCACCACAAGGUGCGUUUUUGGGAUGAUUUUUUCAGGAACCAAAAAACAGAAAUCAGGUAUUAUUUUAAGUACCGAUGGCUAUUUCCGGAACGCAGGACCAGAAAAUAUGCAGGCCGAGAUUCGUUUUCUCUAGGGACAUGUCUAGCUCACGAGCAAUGCUUGAGGAACUCAAGAACAACUGGGCUCAUCUGAGUUUCUACAAGGAGCGUCUUCACCACAGAAAAACGCUGAGGAUAUUUUCAAAAACUCAGGACGCUCGGAAAUCCCAUUAAAGGUUUUAGUCAUGUCAUCCAGGAAUUCAUCCAGGAACUGUGAAGUACCUGUUCAAGAAGGUUCCAGAACUUUUUCUCUCUCUUAUUUUUUAAGAACUAAAAAAGUUCCAGAAUCUUGGUGGACAUGCACAAAAUGUCACGUGACUUCGCCAUCGCAGGAUCCGACUUGUCGUACGCGUUCUAGCAAACUGUCAGGUUUUUUUUUAAAGGUCUUGGCCGCAAAGACGGAAAAACCUGUUAAACAUGUUAACACACUAACAAACCGCCUUGUAUAAAUUUUUAUUGCGAAUUGAAUUUUCCCCGUCCGGCUCCAUGCUGUAUCGCGUGAUAUGUGGUGUAGAAAGGAAGCAUGGUGCGUUACUCAGCGAGGAUCUGGCCUGGUUUACGCAACAUGUGUUUAGCAGAUCGCCGCUGCAGUGGGAGAUGAGAUGACGACAGUGGUUCUGCUAUGCGGGUUCAGGAAAAGGGUGUGUGUGUGUGUGUGUGUGUGUGUGUGUGUGUGGGAUGCGCUGAUGACAAACAGAGAUACGAGUGUCUGGCUGGUCAACCAUGUGAGAUAUGAGCUGAGGGUCAGUCAUCGGGGUUGCGCAACUGAAUUCUCAAAGAAGGUUUUCCAGUCAUGAGCAGAAGGUUUGCAGAAGACCAGAAGAGCUGACGGCAGGUCAAGGAGGCAUGAGGUGGACCUCAUAUUCCUCAGCUCUCUACCUUCGGAUGUGCAUAUUCCCAGCAUUUAUCCUGGAUUUCUUUACUGGAUGGCUAUUUCCAUGUUCUUAACUGCAUUCGUCUUAACACUAAAGAGCGCCGCCAUGUUGAAAUGACGUCACGCAAUGGCAGCUCGGAGCCGUCUUUGGAGCGCUCGGAAACUCCGAGUGGGAAUUACGAGUUGGAGAAACCGUUCAGACGGCUCUUUUCCACAGCAGCUUCCCAGUUCCCACU